This 495-nucleotide ribosomal RNA is filed under the name uncultured bacterium. Its description in RNAcentral is "partial 16S ribosomal RNA". It matches the Rfam family "Bacterial small subunit ribosomal RNA", at positions 28 to 507 of the family's 1533-position model. The record is from RNAcentral.
GAUGAACGCUGGCGGCGUGCCUAAUACAUGCAAGUAGAACGCUGAAGGAGGAGCUUGCUCUUCUGGAUGAGUUGCGAACGGGUGAGUAACGCGUAGGUAACCUGCCUGGUAGCGGGGGAUAACUAUUGGAAACGAUAGCUAAUACCGCAUGACAACAGUUAUUGCAUGAUAACUGUUUAAAAGGGGCAACUGCUCCACUACCAGAUGGACCUGCGUUGUAUUAGCUAGUUGGUGAGGUAACGGCUCACCAAGGCGACGAUACAUAGCCGACCUGAGAGGGGGAUCGGCCAAACUGGGACUGGGACACGGCCCAGACUCCUACGGGAGGGAGCAGUAGGGAAACUUCGGCAAUGGACGGAAGUCUGACCGAGCAACGCCGCGUGAGUGAAGAAGGGUUUCGGAUCGUAAAGCUCUGUUGUAAGGGAAGAACGAGUGUGAGAGUGGAAAGUUCACACUGUGACGGUAUCUUACCAGAAAGGGACGGCUAACUACGUG